RNAcentral lists this ribosomal RNA (210 nucleotides) under Triticum aestivum (bread wheat). RNAcentral's name for it is "partial small subunit ribosomal RNA". The record is from RNAcentral. Lineage: Eukaryota; Viridiplantae; Streptophyta; Magnoliopsida; Poales; Poaceae.
AUGAUGAUCAUCACACUUUUAUUUACUUACAACUCAAUAUUACAACUCGAUACUAGAACAAACACUACAAAAAAAGACACAUCCGUGACAUUUUGGGCCGAACAAAUUUUUUUCUGUCAUACAUAUGACACUUCUAUGACGAUAAUUGUGACAAAACCCGGUAUCAUCAUAGAUGUGGUGGGCUCCUACUUCUAUGACGAAAAAUCAUGA